GUUCGCCUCCAGAAUGGUCUUGAAUGUGGUGGUGCAUAUCUGAAAUACCUGCGGCCUCAGGAGGCAGGUUGGGUAUCCAAGGAGUUUGACAACGAAUCUCCGUAUAUGAUUAUGUUUGGACCUGAUAAAUGUGGUGCCACAAACAAGGUGCACUUCAUCUUAAAGCAUAAGAAUCCCAAGAGUGGAGAGUACAUUGAACACCAUCUCAAGAACCCACCUUCUGUGCCCUCUGAUAAACUGACUCAUGUAUACACUGCCAUCUUGAAACCUGAUAAUGAGUUGAGAAUUUUAAUUGAUGGAGAGGAGAAGCAGAAGGCAAAUUUCCUCGCUGCUGAUGAUUUUCAGCCACCGCUCAUUCCUGAGAAGACAAUUCCUGAUCCAGAUGACAAGAAGCCUGAGGAUUGGGAUGAGAGGGCAAAGAUUCCUGACCCUGAUGCAGUAAAACCUGACGACUGGGAUGAGGAUGCUCCGAUGGAAAUUGAAGAUGAGGAUGCUGUGAAACCUGAAGGAUGGCUGGAUGAUGAGCCUGAGGAGAUAGAUGACCCUGAGGCCACAAAACCUGAGGAUUGGGAUGAUGAGGAGGAUGGUGAAUGGGAGGCCCCAAAGAUUGAUAACCCAAAGUGUGAAGCAGCCCCUGGAUGCGGCGAGUGGAAGAGGCCAAUGAAGAGGAAUCCUGCCUACAAGGGCAAAUGGCAUGCUCCACUUAUU
This 708-nucleotide long non-coding RNA is filed under the name Citrus maxima (pomelo). RNAcentral describes it as "long non-coding RNA (CMAX_LNC003095)". Lineage: Eukaryota; Viridiplantae; Streptophyta; Magnoliopsida; Sapindales; Rutaceae. The record is from RNAcentral.